This 925-nucleotide ribosomal RNA is filed under the name uncultured bacterium. RNAcentral's name for it is "bacterial SSU rRNA". It matches the Rfam family "Bacterial small subunit ribosomal RNA", at positions 77 to 997 of the family's 1533-position model. The record is from RNAcentral.
CCUUCGGGCGCUGACGAGUGGNCGGACGGGUGAGUAACGCGUAGAAUCUGCCUCAUAGUGGGGGACAACGUGGGGAAACUCACGCUAAUACCGCAUACGCUCCUACGGGGGAAAGGAGGGGAUCUUCGGACCUUUCGCUAUGAGAUGAGCCUGCGUUAGAUUAGCUAGUUGGUAGGGUAAAGGCCUACCAAGGCGACGAUCUAUAGCUGGUCUGAGAGGACGAUCAGCCACACUGGGACUGAGACACGGCCCAGACUCCUACGGGAGGCAGCAGUGGGGAAUAUUGGACAAUGGGCGAAAGCCUGAUCCAGCAAUACCGCGUGUGUGAAGAAGGCCUUAGGGUUGUAAAGCACUUUCAAUCGGGAGGAAAACCUAUCGACCAAUACCCGAUAGCUUGACAUUACCUUUAGAAGAAGCACCGGCUAACUCCGUGCCAGCAGCCGCGGUAAUACGGAGGGUGCGAGCGUUAAUCGGAAUUACUGGGCGUAAAGCGUGCGUAGGCGGUUCGUUAAGUCAGAUGUGAAAGCCCUGGGCUCAACCUGGGAACUGCAUUUGAAACUGGCGGACUAGAGUUUAGUAGAGGGGAGUGGAAUUUCAGGUGUAGCGGUGAAAUGCGUAGAUAUCUGAAGGAACACCAGUGGCGAAGGCGACUCCCUGGACUAGAACUGACGCUGAGGUACGAAAGCGUGGGUAGCAAACAGGAUUAGAUACCCUGGUAGUCCACGCCGUAAACGAUGUCGACUAGCCGUUGGCCCUAUUUACAGGGUUAGUGGCGCAGCUAACGCAUUAAGUCGACCGCCUGGGGAGUACGGCCGCAAGGUUAAAACUCAAAUGAAUUGACGGGGGCCCGCACAAGCGGUGGAGCAUGUGGUUUAAUUCGAUGCAACGCGAAGAACCUUACCUACCCCUUGACAUCCAAUGAAUC